GGGGCUGAUUCUGGAUUCGACGGGAUUUGCGAAACCCAAGGUGCAUGCCGAGGGGCGGUUGGCCUCGUAAAAAGCCGCAAAAAAAUAGUCGCAAACGACGAAAACUACGCUUUAGCAGCUUAAUAACCUGCUUAGAGCCCUCUCUCCCUAGCCUCCGCUCUUAGGACGGGGAUCAAGAUAGGUCAAACCCAAAAGAGAUCGCGCGGAUGCCCUGCCUGGGGUUGAAGCGUUAAAACUAAUCAGGCUAGUCUGGUAGUGGCGUGUCCGUCCGCAGGUGCCAGGCGAAUGUAAAGACUGACUAAGCAUGUAGUACCGAGGAUGUAGGAAUUUCGGACGCGGGUUCAACUCCCGCCAGCUCCACCA
RNAcentral lists this transfer-messenger RNA (363 nucleotides) under Salmonella enterica subsp. enterica serovar Meleagridis. It matches the Rfam family "transfer-messenger RNA". From Rfam's summary of the family: Bacterial tmRNA, also known as 10Sa RNA or SsrA, is named for its dual tRNA and mRNA-like properties. Its role is to liberate the mRNA from a stalled ribosome. Lineage: Bacteria; Pseudomonadati; Pseudomonadota; Gammaproteobacteria; Enterobacterales; Enterobacteriaceae. The record is from RNAcentral.